CACCGGCGGCUCGAGUGGUGGCCACUUUUGUUGGGUCUAAAGCGUCCGUAGCCGGCUUGGCAAGUCCCCUGGGAAAUCUGGCGGCUUAACCGUCAGGCGUCCAGAGGAUACUGCCAGGCUUGGGACCGGGAGAGGUGAGAGGUACCUCAGGGGUAGGGGUGAAAUCUUGUGAUCCCUGAGGGACCACCAGUGGCGAAGGCGUCUCACUAGAACGGGUCCGACGGUCAGGGACGAAAGCUGGGGGCACGAACCGG
This 254-nucleotide ribosomal RNA is filed under the name uncultured microorganism. RNAcentral's name for it is "partial 16S ribosomal RNA". It matches the Rfam family "Archaeal small subunit ribosomal RNA", at positions 474 to 727 of the family's 1478-position model. The record is from RNAcentral.